Molecule: ribosomal RNA, 237 nt
Filed under: uncultured bacterium
Lineage: Bacteria
Description: partial 16S ribosomal RNA
Rfam family: Bacterial small subunit ribosomal RNA
Source: RNAcentral
UACAGAGACCACAAGCGUUAUCCGAAUUUAUUGGGCGUAAAGGGUCCGCAGGCGGCAGUGUGCGUCAUUGGUUAAAUCUUGAGGCUCAACUUCAAGACUGCCCGUGAUACGACACAGCUAGAGAUCGGGAGAGUAAGCGGAAUUGCCGGUGUAGUAGUAAAUGCGUUAAUAUCGGCAAGAACACCAAAUGCGAGGGCAGCUUACUGGAACGAAUCUGACGCUCAGGGACGAAAGCGU